RNAcentral lists this ribosomal RNA (349 nucleotides) under uncultured bacterium. RNAcentral's name for it is "partial 16S ribosomal RNA". It matches the Rfam family "Bacterial small subunit ribosomal RNA", at positions 338 to 698 of the family's 1533-position model. The record is from RNAcentral.
CCUACGGGUGGCAGCAGUGGGGAAUAUUGCACAAUGGGGGAAACCCUGAUGCAGCGACGCCGCGUGAGUGAAGAAGUAAUUCGUUAUGUAAAGUUCUUUUAACAGGGAAGAAAGAGAAAUUUGACGGUACCUGAAGAAUAUGCUCCGGCUAACUACGUGCCAGCAGCCGCGGUAAGACGUAGGGAUCGAGCGUUAUCCGGAAUUAUUGGGCGUAAAGGGUGCGUAGACGGAAUAGCAAGGCUGUUGUAAAAAUGCUGGGCUCAACCCAGUAGGGCAAAAGAUACUGCAAAGCUAGAGUAUGACAGAGGCAAGUGGAACUACAUGUGUAGCGGUAAAAUGCGUAGAUAUA